This 468-nucleotide ribosomal RNA is filed under the name uncultured bacterium. Its description in RNAcentral is "partial 16S ribosomal RNA". It matches the Rfam family "Bacterial small subunit ribosomal RNA", at positions 28 to 507 of the family's 1533-position model. The record is from RNAcentral.
GACGAACGCUGGCGGCGUGCUUAACACAUGCAAGUCGAACGGAAAGGCCCUGCUUUUGUGGGGUGCUCGAGUGGCGAACGGGUGAGUAACACGUGAGUAACCUGCCCUUGACUUUGGGAUAACUUCAGGAAACUGGGGCUAAUACCGGAUAGGAGCUCCUGCUGCAUGGUGGGGGUUGGAAAGUUUCGGCGGUUGGGGAUGGACUCGCGGCUUAUCAGCUUGUUGUUGGGGUAGUGGCUUACCAAGGCUUUGACGGGUAGCCGGCAUGAGAGGGUGACCGGGCACAUUGGGACUGAGAUACGGCCCAGAAUCCUACGGGAGGCAGCAGUGGGGAAUAUUGCACAAUGGGCGGAAGCCUGAUGCAGCAACGCCGCGUGCGGGAUGACGGCCUUCGGGUUGUAAACCGCUUUCGCCUGUGACGAAACGUGAGUGACGGUAAUGGGUAAAGAAGCACCGGCUAACUACGUG